Molecule: non-coding RNA, 526 nt
Organism: Podarcis muralis (Common wall lizard)
Lineage: Eukaryota; Metazoa; Chordata; Lepidosauria; Squamata; Lacertidae
Source: RefSeq, a predicted model, not a curated record
UGCUACUGCUUCCCUGCUGUCCAGACAGGGCUCCCACAGAGCAGAGAUACAGCCACAGAUUCCCAGCUGCAAAACUGAGCUGGCAAAAUCAGUUAGGAGGCUCGGCCAGAAGAGAAGCCUGCAGAAAUAUAGCAGGAUAAACAUAACUAGACCAAGAUGGAAGGAGGCGGCUUUAGAAGAUGCAAAAGCAGGAAGCAGAGAGAGAGAGAAAGAAAGGAAAACCAUCCUCAGCACGAAGGACCACUGCAAGGAAAAGCACAGGAAGCCAUAAACAUAAUUGCUGGCUGGCAAGAACUGCCUGUCACGUCCUUCUCGUGGAGUCUCCCUUUGCUGGUAAUAGAACAGCACCACAAAAUAACUGGAAGGGAGGGCCCUGUUUAUUUACCUUGUAAUUAGGACGUGCCGGGAAAUGCUUAAUAUAAAAUGACACUUGAAAGGGAAUAAAUUACCAAAUGUCACAAUAGACAACUGCCUCGGAAUAGCAUGUCCUGCUUCCCAGGCAGCUGAGUCCCAUGUGGUGGAAGAA